This 491-nucleotide ribosomal RNA is filed under the name uncultured bacterium. Its description in RNAcentral is "bacterial SSU rRNA". It matches the Rfam family "Bacterial small subunit ribosomal RNA", at positions 28 to 507 of the family's 1533-position model. The record is from RNAcentral.
GAUGAACGCUAGCGGCAGGCCUAAUACAUGCAAGUCGUACGGCAAACAGUUGCGAGCAAUCGCAACCGGUGGCGAGUGGCGCACGGGUGAGUAACGCGUAUGUAACCUACCCUUCUCCGGGACAUAACUCCGCGAAAGCGGUGCUAAUAUCCCAUACCAACUCAUCAAGACAUCUUCUUGAGUUGAAAGCAGCAAUGCGGUGAAGGAUGGGCAUGCGUCCCAUUAGCUGGUUGGUGAGGUAAUGGCCCACCAAGGCUACGAUGGGUAGGGGUUCUGAGAGGAAAGCCCCCCACACUGGUACUGAGACACGGACCAGACUCCUACGGGAGGCAGCAGUAAGGAAUAUUGGGCAAUGGUCGAAAGACUGACCCAGCCAUGCCGCGUGCAGGAUGAAGGCCCUAUGGGUUGUAAACUGCUUUUAGCCGGGAAUAAACACCCGUUUUAUAACGGGCCCGAAGGUACCGGCUGAAUAAGCAUCGGCUAACUCCGUG